UAACACCUUUCAGCAGUGGAUGUCUAGGCUCGCACAUCGAUGAAGAACGCUGCGAACUGCGAUACGUAAUGCGAAUUGCAGGAUUCAGUGAGUCAUCGAAAUUUUGAACGCAUAUUGCACUUUCGGGUAAUGCCUGGAAGUAUGCCUGUAUCAGUGU
RNAcentral lists this ribosomal RNA (157 nucleotides) under Pythium insidiosum. Its description in RNAcentral is "5.8S ribosomal RNA". It matches the Rfam family "5.8S ribosomal RNA". Rfam says of the family: 5.8S ribosomal RNA (5.8S rRNA) is a component of the large subunit of the eukaryotic ribosome. Lineage: Eukaryota; Oomycota; Peronosporomycetes; Pythiales; Pythiaceae. The record is from RNAcentral.